GAAACCCGGAUUAAUACCGCAUGACACUGCGACUACUUAAGUAGAUGCAGUUAAAUUUUCGGAGGUAAUAGAUGGGCAUGCGUAUGAUUAGUUAGUUGGUGAGGUAACGGCUCACCAAGACUGUGAUCAUUAGCGGGUCUGAGAGGAUGAUCCGCCACACUGGUACUGAGACACGGACCAGACUCCUACGGGAGGCAGCAGUGAGGAAUAUUGGUCAAUGGGGGCAACCCUGAACCAGCCAUGCCGCGUGCAGGAAGACGGCCUUCUGGGUUGUAAACUGCUUUUAUACAGGAGCAAAUAGUCCCAGCGGGGAAAGUUGAGAGUAUUGUAUGAAUAAGCACCGGCUAACUCCGUGCCAGCAGCCGCGGUAAUACGGAGGGUGCAAGCGUUGUCCGGAUUUAUUGGGUUUAAAGGGUGCGUAGGCGGUUUAUAAAGUCAGUGGUGAAAGUCUUCGGCUCAACCGGAGGAUUGCCAUUGAAACUUAUAAACUUGAGUACAGUAGAGGUAGGCGGAAUUUAUGAUGUA
Molecule: ribosomal RNA, 525 nt
Filed under: uncultured bacterium
Lineage: Bacteria
Description: bacterial SSU rRNA
Rfam family: Bacterial small subunit ribosomal RNA
Source: RNAcentral